Molecule: long non-coding RNA, 3431 nt
Filed under: Sus scrofa (pig)
Lineage: Eukaryota; Metazoa; Chordata; Mammalia; Artiodactyla; Suidae
Description: lncRNA (ENSSSCG00055008578.1)
Source: RNAcentral
UUUUUUUUUUUUUUUAACUAAAAUCAUGUAACAAGCAUUUAUCAUACUAUUAUAAAUAUCUUGUAAUUAUUUUUCUUUUUAGGGCCUUACCUGCAGCAUAUGUAAAUUCCCAGGCUAGGGGUGGAAUUGGAGCUGCAGCUGCAGGCCUACACUGCAGCCACAGCAGUGAGGGAUCUGAGCUGCAUCUAUGACCCGUGCCACAGCUUGCAGCAAAGCUGGAUCCUUCACCCACAGAGUGAGGCCACGGAUUGAACUCACAUCCUCAUGGAUACUAGUCAGAUUCUUAACCCACUGAACCACACAGGAAUUCCUCUUAUAAAUUUUUAACCGUGGCAAACUAAUACAAUGUAAAAUUUACCAUCUUAACUAUUUUUAAGUGUACCAUUCAGUGAUAGUAAGUAAAUUCAUAUUGUCAUGCAACUAUUAUCACUGCCUGCUCCCCAGAAUUUUUCAUCUUCCCAAAUUGAAACUCUAUGAUUAUUACACAGUAACUCCCCAUUACCCCCCUGGCAACCACCAUUCUAUGUUCUACCUCUAUGAAUUUGACUCCUCUAGGUAUCUCACAUAAGUAGAAUACAUGAAAGCCUCGCAAUUUAACAUAUAUUGAUGACAUAAUAUUAAAUAUACAGUUUGACUCAUUUUGUAUUUGUGAACAUGUUCAUUUGCAAUUUUAAUUUUUUGUUUUAGUGCAUUAUAUGUUUUAUGUAACCAUUAUACCUUUAGAAUAGAUUCCUAGAAGUGGAAUUACUGAAAAUAAAGAGUAUGACUAUUUUUAAGAAAUUUCAUACAGUUUUCCAAUAUACUUAACAAAUGAAUAUUAAUUUAUGCACCCCAAAAUAAUGUAAGAUAGUACCUAUCUUGCUAUAUUCUCACCAGUAUUACAAUCUUCUAAAGUCUAUGCUAAAGUUUUUUGAUCAGAAAAAAGAAAAAAGAAAAGCAUCUGUUAAUAUAUAUCUAUGACACUUGUAAGACUGACUAAUUUUUCACUUUUAUUAAUUGAACUCUCUUUUUUGGAAUAUUUGCUCAUAUCUUUUCUUCACUUACCUAAUAUAUUAUUAAUCAUUUUCUUAUAAAUUCAUAUAAAGCUCUUUAUGUAACAAAAUUAACCAUUUUUUGUCUAUCAUAGUUUCUGUAAAUACUUUUUUGGCAUGUUUGUUUUAAAUUUUUUGUUGAACAGAGCAGUUUCUAGGAAUUUUUAUAACUAGGAUACACUUAGAAGGAAGAACAGUCAUGAACUUUAGAAUUCUCUCAGGCAUGUAACUUCACAGGACAUUAAUUAUUCAUCCCUAAAAGAGUCAAAUCCAAGAUCAGGUUUUCUACAACUAAGUCAAUGCUUUUGCAUAAUAUUUAAAAGCAAAUUGGCGAUUAACCUUGGACAAUAGAGCAAUGAUGUAAGGUGACUUUUGCAAUAAACACUGUUUAAAAGUCAGGUGGCGCUAGUCAGCUCCAGCUGGAACUACUCUGUAAAGUAAAAUGUGUAUUUCUCUCCGCUGUUUCCAAUGCCAAAUACAACUAAGGUCAUUACUAAUUUGCACCAAAGAUUUCAGAGCAACCAACAGACCAUAACAAAGAUACACAAUUCUUAUGUUGUGAACAAAGGCCAAGUUGAGCUGUCACUGAUGUCCAUAUAUGGAGCCUUAUUUUUUUAAUCUAUAUUUUAAGAAUAAACAUCUUUCCUUGGUAGACCAGAUAACAGAAUUUAGAGAAGGUAAAAGAAGUUUUCAAACAUAGAAAAUAUAGAAAUUAUCACAAUUUUGAGCAAGUCAUAAAUGUCCUGAGACAUUUGUUUAUGCACCUGGGCAUUUAUGAAAACUAGAGGAAAAGAAAAGGUGCAUUUGUUGUGACAGUAACACUGCACUUUGCUUUGCAAGAGGAUGGAGUCUUAUCCUGGUUUCUCUGCUCACACCUGACAUGCAAGGGCAUUUUGCAAAAGAAAUCAGUGAGGAUGAAAAUACAAGCCAUUCAAUGUCUGCAUGAUUCAAAAGGCAAAACUCAUCUCAGUUUCCUCUUCUACCCAAAUUAGAGUGAAGAUUACAAGUCUGUGGGUUUACAGAGGACAAGGUGAAUGGUCCUGUCACAACCAUAGUCCUCACAGCUUCUGAGAUCUGAGUAUGAAACAAGCCCAAGCCAGAUUUACUGCUGUUCUGUAAGCCCAGGGUUUAUAAAGUUACAAAACUGAAAAGAUCUCGCCUCUGUUCCAAACAAGCAAUAGGAAAAAAUGGACUGUGUUUUUUCUGUAACAAUACCAAAAUAUUUCCUUUUAUGUCAUUGUUUAUAUAUCAGAUUUCACAUAAACAUUCUAUUGUAUCAAUUCAUUUGAAUCUUGCCACCACCUCGGGUGCAGGGCACCUCUUUAGCUCCAUGUAUCUAAAGGUAUCUUGAAUAUAGCAGGUAUGCAAUAAAUGCUUUUUGAAUAAAUCUGUAUAUAGACAAAAUUUUCUCCUCAAAAAUGACCACAAGAAUAGGCCAGUCAUCAUGUUUCAAAUGUAAAAAAAAGUAGCAGUGGUUUAUUUCUUGAUAAUUCACACACACACACAACAUGCAAACAAAGUAGCAUGAUGUAUUAGGUGAGGAGUCAAUUAUAAUUUAGUAAAUGAGUCACAUCAGUUACUAUGCCUUUUCUGUACUCAAACCCAACCAAUUCUACUUUUUAACUCUAACCAAAAUCUUCUGAAAUGUUUUUUAAAACCAGUUAAGCAUAGGGUGUGGUAUCUCGCCCUUCAGUUAAUUCUGGGUUGGCUAGAUGGUAAUGGGGGAAUGGACAGUAUUUGGAAAUCCAGGAGCAUGACAUGAUGCUCCAUCAAAAUUUGUCACAGUGAUAAAAGGAGAGUCCAGGAGACAAUAUCAGAGGAUUUCCUGCAGUCCUCCCCUACCCCAAAGCCAUAAUUCUAGAAGCAUAAAGUUGAAAAUUGGAGUUUGUAGCAACUUCAGUGGGCAAAAUGUGGCUGAGGAAGAACACACAUUUGAGAAAAUCAAAGAAUCCUAUGCCAAAAUGUGGGCAAAAUAGAAAAAGAGUUACAUCAGAUAAUACAUGAUAUCCACUUCAAAACAAACAAAUGAGAUAUAUUUGGUAUUUGCUAUUGAGAAACUGAACACAUCAACAAAAAUUACUUUGUGUUACAAUUUAUUUUAUGCAAUACUUCUUCCAUGGCCCUUCUUUAAUUCUUACCGUUGUACUGUAAUAAAAUUUAUCUCUCCCACUAGAGUUUAAGAUCCUAGGAGUUCCUGUCCUGGCUCAGUGGUUAACGAACCCAACUAGCAUCCAUGAGGACUCGGGUUCAAUCCCUGACCUUGCUCAGUGGGUUAAGGAUCCGGCAUUGCCAUGAGCUGUGGUGUAGGUUGCAGACGCGGCUCAGAUCCCCGAGUUGCUGUGGCUGUGGCGUAGGCCAGUGCCUACAGCUCUGAUUCGACCUCUAGCCUGGGAACCUCCA